RNAcentral lists this long non-coding RNA (1228 nucleotides) under Monodelphis domestica (gray short-tailed opossum). RNAcentral describes it as "lncRNA (ENSMODG00000051080.1)". Lineage: Eukaryota; Metazoa; Chordata; Mammalia; Didelphimorphia; Didelphidae. The record is from RNAcentral.
AUGUCCAUCUCCCACACAGAUCUUUCUGCAGCCUCCCGGAUUAUUGUGGACAGCCCUGAGUUUUGGGAAAUAAGGUCACUGCACAGUUCCGCUUCAGUAUCAGCACCUGGCUUUGCCAUGAUGCUUUUCACAGAGACGACAAUAUCCUGCUAUUCAGAGCAUGGAUGGCACUACCAAACCACAGCAAAGAGUAUCAGGAAUAUUCUUGCCAGUUUCUGGAUGGAUUAAUACACACAACUAACAGCACCAAAGCAGAGAACACAUGUAUCCAGGAUGAAGGCUGCAGCUCUGAUGCCUGGAAGGAAGCUUUGAAGUAGACCAUGACAGACUGAAAUGUGCUGGGUGUGAUGAGAGUUAGCAUCGAGGUCUUGCUGAUGUUUGCCUGUGGAAGGCUCAAACAUUCUGUUGAUUCACAGCUUCUAUCAAAAAGAAAUUUCUGAAUUCUAUUAGCUCCAAAUGGACAGGAAGAUUUUCUUUCAAUCCCUUAAGUGCUCAUGUCAGACAAAAUUUAUGAUCCAAUGCAUUACUAUGAGAAUGUGUCAAUGAAACCAAUAUUUGAUUCAUUGUUUUUUUUCUGGACCCAGACCAAGGACAUUUUAAUGCCCUGAAUGGCAAGAUUUAGGAUUCCCAGCUGACCCUGCUUACAUUCAUUUCCUUUCCUAGAAUCCUAGCACCAGAGAUUUAAAGCUCAAAAAGACCAUAGAGGUUUUCAAGUCCAGUCCUCAUGUUUGACAGAAGAGGAAACUGAGUCCCAAGAGGCCAAAAAAGUUAAGCAAGGCCACUGGGUCUGGAAUCAUCAGAAAGAAAGAUUAAAAUAUUGGCUCUCGAAUUCCAGAUGAGUAUUCUCUCUAUCGUGCUAUGCUGCUUUCUUCUGAAAGGGAAUAAUCAUCCUAGUAGCCCUGCAUCAAAGAGUUUGGUGAAACCCACAUGAUGUUUUGGUGAUCUUACGGUGUUUUAUGACAUUAUCAUCACUGAAAGCAGGUAGGUGCCUUAAUGAAUAGAGCAUUGGUCCUCAAGUCAGGAAGACUUGAAUUCAAAUAUGGCCUCAGAUACUUAAGAGCUGUGUGACCCUGGGCAAGUCAUUUUAUCCUGUUUGUCUCAGUUUUCUCAUCUGUAAAAUGAGCUGGAGAAGGAAAUGGCAAACCACUUCAGUAUCUUUACCAAGAAAACUCCAAAUGGAAUCCUAAAGGGUAAGACAUGACUGAAAUGACUGAACAACAAAUUAUUA